This 73-nucleotide transfer RNA is filed under the name Ixodes scapularis (black-legged tick). It matches the Rfam family "tRNA". From Rfam's summary of the family: Transfer RNA (tRNA) molecules are approximately 80 nucleotides in length. Their secondary structure includes four short double-helical elements and three loops (D, anti-codon, and T loops). Further hydrogen bonds mediate the characteristic L-shaped molecular structure. tRNAs have two regions of fundamental functional importance: the anti-codon, which is responsible for specific mRNA codon recognition, and the 3' end, to which the tRNAs corresponding amino acid is attached (by aminoacyl-tRNA synthetases). tRNAs cope with the degeneracy of the genetic code in two manners: having more than one tRNA (with a specific anti-codon) for a particular amino acid; and 'wobble' base-pairing, i.e. permitting non-standard base-pairing at the 3rd anti-codon position. The record is from Rfam by way of RNAcentral. Lineage: Eukaryota; Metazoa; Arthropoda; Arachnida; Ixodida; Ixodidae.
GCCUCGGUGGCUCUGAGGCGAGAGCGUCGGCCUACGGAUCCCAAUGUGGCGGGUUCGAAUCCCGGCCGAGGUG